CGGACGGGUGAGUAAUGUCUGGGAAACUGCCUGAUGGAGGGGGAUAACUACUGGAAACGGUAGCUAAUACCGCAUAACGUCGCAAGACCAAGAGGGGACCUUCGGGCCCCUUGCCAUCGGAUGUGCCCAGAUGGGAUUAGCUAGUAGGUGGGGUAACGGCUCACCUAGGCGACGAUCCCUAGCUGGUCUGAGAGGAUGACCAGCCACACUGGAACUGAGACACGGUCCAG
RNAcentral lists this ribosomal RNA (230 nucleotides) under uncultured bacterium. RNAcentral describes it as "partial 16S ribosomal RNA". It matches the Rfam family "Bacterial small subunit ribosomal RNA", at positions 99 to 334 of the family's 1533-position model. The record is from RNAcentral.